Long non-coding RNA from Lepus europaeus (European hare), 1928 nucleotides. RefSeq lists it as uncharacterized. Lineage: Eukaryota; Metazoa; Chordata; Mammalia; Lagomorpha; Leporidae. The transcript has 6 exons. The record is from RefSeq and is a predicted model, not a curated record.
AGACACAUCCAUUCAAUGUGUCUGUGCCUGUCCCACCAUAUUCCCCAAACAAACUCAUUUGCUCCUUGAGCUGAUGUCAUCAUCAUACAACUGGUUUCUCAAACUGGAAAUAUGAGUCGUUAUCUUCCUUCCUCUCUUUCACCCUCCAAGAACAGUUGGCUACCAUAUCCUGUCAAUCCUAUUGCACAGAAACAUUGCUCAAAUAUAAUCCCUCUUUCUCCACUGCCAGUGUCUUAGCUCUGAAUGUUUUCUGUCCUACUACAUAUUGCUCAGCAUAUUAACUGGCCUCCCUGCUGGAUCCUCUCCUCAGUUUCUUCCCGUUAAAAGUCACAAAAACUAUGAAUUUUCCACACUGCACUUGUGGAUAACCAUUGCCUAGCUACCUGAUUAUCAGGUCCAAACUUGCAUGUUGAAAGGACCCUUCAGAACUUAUUUGCAAUUUGCUUCUCAACCCCUGUUACUCCCUAUACUACGUGAGCUUCAGAAUCACCCAUGUCAUUUUACAGCUCUGUACCUUUCCACCUGAUGUUUCUACCUCCAGGAACUGCCCUCACCUCUUCUCACAAAGCUAAUGUUUUGUUACAUUUCAGGACCCAGCUCAAAUGUCAUAGCCUUUCUUGGCUUCCACUGUCAGUGAAGUGAACCCUCUCCUAUGCUCUCGCAUCAUUGUCAUAAUGAUCAUGUAUGUGUGUGUGUACCAAGCUGAAAGUUCCGUUCUGGUUAUUUGCCAUCCAAAGAUGAAAAGGUAUUGACAAAGGAAAAUGUCUAGAAUCUUCCCCAGAUGCCAAAAUAUAGCUUGUAUAUAUCGACAAUUAAAAGUCUUCACAGAUGUCAUUGCCUUCUGUGGAGCCUGGGAGAUUUGUCAUCCGACUCCAGAAAGCACACCUAGCAGUACGAAGUGACUGGUUCAGUGGCUGGAGGAAGAAUCUGGAGGGAGAGAGGGUCUGGACAAAGGAAGAAGACCUUUUGAUCAACAGGACGUACUUCCUUGAGGGACUUAAGAACCUGGUUCUUAACCUGUUGUCCCGAGCUCAUCUGGGCCCAACUCAUCUGUCAUCCUGGCCUCAUGUGUUCCUGUUCUGCAUCCAACUUGGUGGCUGCAGCUGAUUACCUGAAGGACCCAGGCACCCAGGUGACAUCAGAACAGGAGAAAGAGCCAUACAGGGAGAACACUGUGUGGACCACAUGGAAGAAUCCAGCAGCAAGCCCUGGAAUGCGAAGAACUUGUGCUCACCACCAGAAACAAAAAACCGUCAGAGACGAGGAACUGCUCUGAGUGAUAGGCCCUAUCACAGCUGACAGUGAGCCCUCACCAGGGCUGGAAGUAACAAAUGAGGAGAAAGCCACUGGAAUUGCAUCUUAGGGGAUUGGAUAAAGGAGGCUGAGCACUCCCACUUCACUGGUCUAACAAGUUUCUACCAAAUGUACAAUUUUCGUCCAUAUUUUUCAACCACAAUUUAAAGAUGAUUUGUGCAACUUGGGCAACUGGCAUUUAACCAAAGCUUUAAACUUUAGUGGCCUGUUAGUUUCUCUGAUUGAGACUUGGUGUGUUGAGUGGCAUAUGUGUGAAUGCAAACAUAGCAUAGAAUUUGUUCACAUAAGGAACUUAGGAAGAAGAAUCUGGUAAGUAGGCAAGGGCAAAGAAUGUUUCAUUAACUAUAUAUGCAUUCAAACACACAGUUUGAACUUACAUUUCUUGACCUCUCUUUGCAUUAAUUCUCUCUCAUGAAAACAGGGCAUAUAGUAGUAUUUAAAACAUUAAACUCCUGUAAGGAUGAAAUGAAUCAAUACUUUAAAAGAGUUUUCAAGAGUGUUUUAUAUGGAACAAUCACUCAAUAGAUGCAGAUGAAACUAAUAUCCAUAUGAACAAUGUUUGCUGUUAGAUUGUUUAUUAUUUGGGGUGCUGUUGAACUUAUCAUUAUGGGAUU